This 367-nucleotide long non-coding RNA is filed under the name Polistes fuscatus (common paper wasp). Its description in RNAcentral is "uncharacterized LOC122516868, transcript variant X2". Lineage: Eukaryota; Metazoa; Arthropoda; Insecta; Hymenoptera; Vespidae. The record is from RNAcentral.
UUCGUAUACGUUAAUGUUUCUCAACUGAUCACAUGUCCCGCGGAUCAAUUAAUAUUGAAAUUUUUGUACUUCGACUAAAUGAAAUGAAAUGUUCAGUGAUCUGUGAAUUAUCAAUUGAGAAAAACUGGUAUACGUUAUUUUUUAUAACAUGAUUAUUCUCUUAUCAAAGAAAACAGAAGUACAUAGAAGCUCACAAGUCAACUUUUUGUGUAACCACAAUCGUCUUAGUUAGUACCCUGACCACCAGUGAGCGAGAAAGACCCCCACCUGUCAUGAGUUCUGCUGUCAACGCGGAAGCACCUUUUUUCGGAAGGCUCACCAGACAUGACGUCGCAAUGGCUGAGUUUUAGAUAUUUUUCAACAAAAA